AGAGUUUGAUUUUGGCUCAGGAUGAACGCUAGCUACAGGCUUAACACAUGCAAGUCGAGGGGCAGCAUUUCAGUUUGCUUGCAAACUGGAGAUGGCGACCGGCGCACGGGUGAGUAACACGUAUCCAACCUGCCGAUAACUCGGGGAUAGCCUUUCGAAAGAAAGAUUAAUACCCGAUGGCAUAAUUAGACCGCAUGGUCUUAUUAUUAAAGAAUUUCGGUUAUCGAUGGGGAUGCGUUCCAUUAGGCAGUUGGUGAGGUAACGGCUCACCAAACCUUCGAUGGAUAGGGGUUCUGAGAGGAAGGUCCCCCACAUUGGAACUGAGACACGGUCCAAACUCCUACGGGAGGCAGCAGUGAGGAAUAUUGGUCAAUGGACGAGAGUCUGAACCAGCCAAGUAGCGUGAAGGAUGACUGCCCUAUGGGUUGUAAACUUCUUUUAUAUGGGAAUAAAGUUUUCCACGUGUGGAAUUUUGUAUGUACCAUAUGAAUAAGGAUCGGCUAACUCCGUGCCAGCAGCCGCGGUAAUACGGAGGAUCCGAGCGUUAUCCGGAUUUAUUGGGUUUAAAGGGAGCGUAGGUGGACAGUUAAGUCAGUUGUGAAAGUUUGCGGCUCAACCGUAAAAUUGCAGUUGAUACUGGCUGUCUUGAGUACAGUAGAGGUGGGCGGAAUUCGUGGUGUAGCGGUGAAAUGCUUAGAUAUCACGAAGAACUCCGAUUGCGAAGGCAGCUCACUGGACUGCAACUGACACUGAUGCUCGAAAGUGUGGGUAUCAAACAGGAUUAGAUACCCUGGUAGUCCACACAGUAAACGA
Molecule: ribosomal RNA, 813 nt
Filed under: uncultured bacterium
Lineage: Bacteria
Description: bacterial SSU rRNA
Rfam family: Bacterial small subunit ribosomal RNA
Source: RNAcentral